RNAcentral lists this ribosomal RNA (264 nucleotides) under uncultured bacterium. RNAcentral's name for it is "partial 16S ribosomal RNA". It matches the Rfam family "Bacterial small subunit ribosomal RNA", at positions 1114 to 1382 of the family's 1533-position model. The record is from RNAcentral.
GUUGCCAUCAUUUAUUGGGCACUCUAAUGAGACUGCCGGUGACAAACCGGAGGAAGUGGGGAUGACGUCAAGUCCUCAUGGCCCUUAUGGGUAGGCUUCACACGUCAUACAAUGGUCGGUACAGAGGGUUGCCAAGCCGCGAGGUGGAGCAAAUCCUAAAAAGCCGGUCUCAGUUCGGAUUGCAGGCUGCAAUUCGCCUGCAUGAAGUCGGAAUCGCUAGUAAUCGCAGGUCAGCAUACUGCGGUGAAUACGUUCCCGGGCCUU